GUAUGCUUUCAAACGGGCUA
This 20-nucleotide non-coding RNA is filed under the name Rattus norvegicus (Norway rat). The record is from RNAcentral. Lineage: Eukaryota; Metazoa; Chordata; Mammalia; Rodentia; Muridae.